GACAAUCUCGACCUUCGGCGUGUUGCUGCAAGUGGGAGGCGCUCUGGCCGAGUCGAUCCGGCUGGUCAUGACAGACUUCCUCCUCUCAGGCAUCAAGAUGAAUGUGCUCGAGAACAUGUACUGGCUCUCACCAGCAGGGGGUA
RNAcentral lists this small RNA (143 nucleotides) under Hanusia phi. Its description in RNAcentral is "partial Betaproteobacteria transfer-messenger RNA". Lineage: Eukaryota; Cryptophyceae; Pyrenomonadales; Geminigeraceae. The record is from RNAcentral.